This 619-nucleotide ribosomal RNA is filed under the name Priestia megaterium. Its description in RNAcentral is "bacterial LSU rRNA". It matches the Rfam family "Bacterial large subunit ribosomal RNA", at positions 2308 to 2925 of the family's 2925-position model. The record is from RNAcentral. Lineage: Bacteria; Bacillati; Bacillota; Bacilli; Caryophanales; Bacillaceae.
GCCCAAAGGUUCCCUCAGAAUGGUUGGAAAUCAUUCGUAGAGUGUAAAGGCACAAGGGAGCUUGACUGCGAGACCUACAAGUCGAGCAGGGACGAAAGUCGGGCUUAGUGAUCCGGUGGUUCCGCAUGGAAGGGCCAUCGCUCAACGGAUAAAAGCUACCCCGGGGAUAACAGGCUUAUCUCCCCCAAGAGUCCACAUCGACGGGGAGGUUUGGCACCUCGAUGUCGGCUCAUCGCAUCCUGGGGCUGUAGUCGGUCCCAAGGGUUGGGCUGUUCGCCCAUUAAAGCGGUACGCGAGCUGGGUUCAGAACGUCGUGAGACAGUUCGGUCCCUAUCCGUCGUGGGCGUAGGAAAUUUGAGAGGAGCUGUCCUUAGUACGAGAGGACCGGGAUGGACACACCGCUGGUGUACCAGUUGUCUUGCCAAAGGCAUCGCUGGGUAGCUAUGUGUGGAAGGGAUAAGUGCUGAAAGCAUCUAAGCAUGAAGCCCCCCUCAAGAUGAGAUUUCCCAUAGCGCAAGCUAGUAAGAUCCCUGAAAGAUGAUCAGGUUGAUAGGUCAGAGGUGGAAGCGUGGCGACAUGUGUAGCUGACUGAUACUAAUCGAUCGAGGACUUAACCAAA